GACGGGGGAUGCAAGCGUUAUCCGGAAUGAUUGGGCGUAAAGGGUCCGCAGGUGGCCCGGUCAGUCCGCUGUCAAAGCCUGGGGCUCAACCCUGGAGAGGCGGCGGAGACCACCGGGCUUGAGUCCGGUAGGGGCAGAGGGAAUUCCCGGUGGAGCGGUGAAAUGGCGUAGAGAUCGGGAGGAACACCAGUGGCGAAGGCGGCUACCUGGACCAGCACUGACACUGAGGCACGAAAGCGUGGGGAGCAAA
This 250-nucleotide ribosomal RNA is filed under the name uncultured bacterium. RNAcentral describes it as "partial 16S ribosomal RNA". It matches the Rfam family "Bacterial small subunit ribosomal RNA", at positions 524 to 772 of the family's 1533-position model. The record is from RNAcentral.